RNAcentral lists this ribosomal RNA (505 nucleotides) under uncultured bacterium. Its description in RNAcentral is "partial 16S ribosomal RNA". It matches the Rfam family "Bacterial small subunit ribosomal RNA", at positions 29 to 523 of the family's 1533-position model. The record is from RNAcentral.
AACGAACGCUGGCGGCGUGUUUAAGACAUGCAAGUCGAACGGGAAAUAAACUGGUAUUUAUAUUAGUUUGUUUCUAGUGGCGCACGGGUGAGUAACACGUGAAUUACAUACCCUUGAGUGGGGGAUAGCCCGCCGAAAGGCGGAUUAAUACCCCAUGGUACCUCCGGGUUAAAGAUGGCCGCAAGGCUGUCGCUCAAGGAUUGGUUCGCGCCCUAUCAGCUUGUUGGUGAGGUAACGGCUCACCAAGGCUACGACGGGUACCUGGUUUGAGAGAAUGAUCAGGCACACUGGAACUGAGACACGGUCCAGACACCUACGGGUGGCAGCAGUCGAGAAUAAUUCACAAUGGACGAAAGUCUGAUGGUGCAACGCCGCGUGGAGGAUGACGGUCUUCGGAUUGUAAACUCCUGUCAUCAGGGAGUAAGACCUGGGUGUUAAUAGCACACAGGGUUGAUAGUACCUGAAGAGGAAGGGACGGCUAACUUCGUGCCAGCAGCCGCGGUAA